AUGGAAAUAUCUAUAAUUGUUAGAUAGUAUAGGGGCGGAUGUAGCCAAGUGGAUCAAGGCAGUGGAUUUGUGAAUCCACCAUGCG
This 85-nucleotide transfer RNA is filed under the name Leucaena leucocephala (white popinac). RNAcentral describes it as "partial tRNA-His". Lineage: Eukaryota; Viridiplantae; Streptophyta; Magnoliopsida; Fabales; Fabaceae. The record is from RNAcentral.